This 1445-nucleotide long non-coding RNA is filed under the name Homo sapiens (human). RNAcentral's name for it is "long independently transcribed non-coding RNA 2572 (LINC02572)". The record is from RNAcentral. Lineage: Eukaryota; Metazoa; Chordata; Mammalia; Primates; Hominidae.
GAGAGAGGGCUGGGGUAGAGGAGAGCCCCAGGGAGCAGGCAGAGGAUAUUCUUUCUGGGAGCCCUGAGCCCAUCUAACCUCCAGUUCGUCCAUCAACUGAUUACUGCUCAGUCACCUCAGAUGAUACCACUGGGAGCCAGAGAACUGCCUAGCUGUGCCCUGCCUGAAUGUCUGACUCAUCACUCAUGGUGGAUGACCUUUUUCCUGAAGAAACUGCUGCAGAAUGAAAGCUCCAGGCGCUUGGGUGCAGCAAGUAGGCUAUGCAUUUCCCACCAGCAGGAAUCUAGCUCCUGGCCAAGGAAAUCAUACGUGAUGUGUAGGGAAGUGUGUGGGGCAGUGGAAGGAAUGUGGACCGUUGCCUCCCUUCGCUUGUCUGGAUGACCUUGGAUGAGGCCUCAAUCCUGGUAGUCACCUGGACUCCUCCUGAAUUUCCCGCAUGUCCUGCAGCAGUGACCCCAUCUGACAUGUUGUGUGGCUGGCUGUCCCCCAGUGAAAUCAUAGCCCUGGAGGGCAGGGUGUGUUUCUUCGUUUUCCUGCCUGGUGUGUGGAGACCCUGUGUGACCGUGGCGCAGAUCAGGAGCUCGGUCCGGUCCUGGAUACCCUUGGCAUUGACAUGUGGCUGCAGACAGUGGAAGAGAGAGAGAGUAGAAGACCUGCCUGAGCUCACUCAGCAUGCGUCAACUUCAUUCCCAGUCCACGACUGGAGCGUAGUCACAUGGCUGGAGCGUAGCCCUGGAGCAGUCACAGGGCUGCAAAGGCUGCCGGGAAGUGUGUUCCAUACUGUGUGCCCAGAGCAAGGGAAGGGGUUUGGUGGGAGUUUGCCAGUUCCACCACAGCGCUGCUGUGACAAUUGAAAUCAAAUGCAUGAAGGGACUGGUUUUCACACAGGUCAGGUGUCAUGACUGCUACAAGCUGGGUUUUCCUCCAGCUUGUACUCCUGUCCAGACAGAGCGUCUAUUUUUUUUUCUAUCUACUGAAUCAGAGAACCUACCUUUCUCAGGUCAGAGUCCAAAUUCCCAACUUGUAUCAAAUGAGAUUUUCUUCCCAGUAAUAAAUAGUGGGAUGUCUACAGACAUUUGCAAGGUGUUCGUCGCACCUCGUGAUUUCUCCCUUGGCAGGGACCUGUGGCCACUGUGUCUGGCUCAGGACACUGACAAAACACCAGGCUCAGGAUUUUUUCCCCCACAAUACAACUAGAUCCUGACCAAGGGUUUUUGAUGAAAAUCAGAUUUUGAAGACUGCUGUGGUUUAUAAGAGCUUCCUCAAGAAGAAGACUUUGUAGACCUCACCAUUUACAGAUAUGAGAGAGAAGUUUCCUUCUGAGUGAUCUCAUUCUGCUCUGAUGUCCCUGGGAACACACAUUGGAGCCAAUAUCUCCCAUCUUUUCAAAUUAAAUUAGCUCCCUGUAGGGAGCCAGAUAAAAGAAUGAUGGAAAGAAAUGGAAC